This 568-nucleotide ribosomal RNA is filed under the name uncultured bacterium. RNAcentral describes it as "bacterial SSU rRNA". It matches the Rfam family "Bacterial small subunit ribosomal RNA", at positions 25 to 593 of the family's 1533-position model. The record is from RNAcentral.
CAGGAUGAACGCUGGCGGCGUGCUUAACACAUGCAAGUCGAGCGAAGCGGAUCUUCGGAAGUUUUCGGAUGGAAGAGGAUUUGACUUAGCGGCGGACGGGUGAGUAACGCGUGGGUAACCUGCCUUACACUGGGGGAUAACAGUUAGAAAUGACUGCUAAUACCGCAUAAGCGCACAGGGCCGCAUGGCCCGGUGUGAAAAACUCCGGUGGUGUAAGAUGGACCCGCGUCUGAUUAGGUAGUUGGCGGGGUAACGGCCCACCAAGCCGACGAUCAGUAGCCGACCUGAGAGGGCGACCGGCCACAUUGGGACUGAGACACGGCCCAAACUCCUACGGGAGGCAGCAGUGGGGAAUAUUGGACAAUGGGCGAAAGCCUGAUCCAGCGACGCCGCGUGAGCGAAGAAGUAUUUCGGUAUGUAAAGCUCUAUCAGCAGGGAAGAAAAUGACGGUACCUGACUAAGAAGCCCCGGCUAACUACGUGCCAGCAGCCGCGGUAAUACGUAGGGGGCAAGCGUUAUCCGGAUUUACUGGGUGUAAAGGGAGCGUAGACGGUUAAGCAAGUCUGAA